UCUACCUGAAUAACUGUGGCAAUUCUAGAGCUAAUACAUGCUAAAAACCUCGACUUCGGAAGGGGUGUAUUUAUUAGAUAAAAAACCAAUGCCCUUCGGGGCUCCUUGGUGAUUCAUAAUAACUUAACGAAUCGCAUGGCCUUGUGCCGGCGAUGGUUCAUUCAAAUUUCUGCCCUAUCAACUUUCGAUGGUAGGAUAGUGGCCUACCAUGGUGUCUACGGGUAACGGGGAAUUAGGGUUCUAUUCCGGAGAGGGAGCCUGAGAAACGGCUACCACAUCCAAGGAAGGCAGCAGGCGCGCAAAUUACCCAAUCCCAAUCCGGGGAGGUAGUGACAAUAAAUACUGAUACAUGGCUCUUUCGGGUCUUGUAAUUGGAAUGAGUACAAUUUAAAUCCCUUAACGAGGAACAAUUGGAGGGCAAGUCUGGUGCCAGCAGCCGCGGUAAUUCCAGCUCCAAUAGCGUAUAUUAAAGUUGUUGCAGUUAAAAAGCUCGUAGUUGAACCUUGGGCCUGGCUGAUCUGUCCUCCUAAUCGAGCGCACGGAUUCGGUCGGACCUUUCCUUCUGGGGAGCCCUAUGCCCUUUACUGGGCGUAGCGGGGAACCAGGACUUUUACCUUGAAAAAAUUAGAGUGUUCAAAGCAGGCCUUUGCUCGAAUACAUUAGCAUGGAAUAAUAGAAUAGGACAUCGGUUCUAUUUUGUUGGUUUCUAGGACCGCUGUAAUGAUUAAUAGGGAUAGUCGGGGGCGUCAGUAUUCAAUUGUCAGAGGUGAAAUUCUUGGAUUUAUUGAAGACUAACUACUGCGAAAGCAUUCGCCAAGGAUGUUUUCAUUAAUCAGUGAACGAAAGUUAGGGGAUCGAAGACGAUCAGAUACCGUCGUAGUCUUAACCAUAAACUAUGCCGACUAGGGAUCGGAAGGUGUUUUUAUAUGACCGUU
RNAcentral lists this ribosomal RNA (935 nucleotides) under Muellerella erratica. Its description in RNAcentral is "SSU rRNA". It matches the Rfam family "Eukaryotic small subunit ribosomal RNA", at positions 134 to 1079 of the family's 1831-position model. Lineage: Eukaryota; Fungi; Ascomycota; Eurotiomycetes; Verrucariales; Verrucariaceae. The record is from RNAcentral.